GGGGAAUAUUGGACAAUGGGCGCAAGCCUGAUCCAGCCAUGCCGCGUGUGUGAAGAAGGCCUUCGGGUUGUAAAGCACUUUUGUUGGGGAAGAAAGCGUACGGACUAAUACUUCGUGCGGAUGACGGUACCCAAAGAAUAAGCACCGGCUAACUUCGUGCCAGCAGCCGCGGUAAUACGAAGGGUGCAAGCGUUACUCGGAAUUACUGGGCGUAAAGCGUGCGCAGGCGGUUCGUUAAGUCUGCUGUGAAAGCCCUGGGCUCAACCUGGGAAUGGCAGUGGAUACUGGCGAGCUAGAGUACGGUAGAGGAAGGUGGAAUUCCCGGUGUAGCGGUGAAAUGCGUAGAGAUCGGGAGGAACACCAGUGGCGAAGGCGACCUUCUGGACCAGUACUGACGCUCAUGCACGAAAGCGUGGGGAGCAAAC
RNAcentral lists this ribosomal RNA (425 nucleotides) under uncultured bacterium. RNAcentral's name for it is "bacterial SSU rRNA". It matches the Rfam family "Bacterial small subunit ribosomal RNA", at positions 356 to 773 of the family's 1533-position model. The record is from RNAcentral.